UAAUUUUAACGAUUCGAUGGUGUAAGUUUUUGAUGAACUUACUUAAAAGGGAAAUCGGUGUAAAUCCGAUGCUGUCCCGCAACUGUGAAGCGGAGUGUAUGAACGAUAUGCCACUGUUCAAUGAACGGGAAGGUGUUGAUACAUGAUGAGGCGAAGCCAGGAGACCUGCCACCGAAGAUUGAUUUCA
RNAcentral lists this non-coding RNA (187 nucleotides) under Kurthia sp. 11kri321. Lineage: Bacteria; Bacillati; Bacillota; Bacilli; Caryophanales; Caryophanaceae. The record is from RNAcentral. RNAcentral also lists the same sequence under 1 other name.